This 626-nucleotide ribosomal RNA is filed under the name Staphylococcus aureus. RNAcentral describes it as "bacterial SSU rRNA". It matches the Rfam family "Bacterial small subunit ribosomal RNA", at positions 896 to 1520 of the family's 1533-position model. Lineage: Bacteria; Bacillati; Bacillota; Bacilli; Caryophanales; Staphylococcaceae. The record is from RNAcentral.
GAAACUCAAAGGAAUUGACGGGGACCCGCACAAGCGGUGGAGCAUGUGGUUUAAUUCGAAGCAACGCGAAGAACCUUACCAAAUCUUGACAUCCUUUGACAACUCUAGAGAUAGAGCUUUCCCCUUCGGGGGACAAAGUGACAGGUGGUGCAUGGUUGUCGUCAGCUCGUGUCGUGAGAUGUUGGGUUAAGUCCCGCAACGAGCGCAACCCUUAAGCUUAGUUGCCAUCAUUAAGUUGGGCACUCUAAGUUGACUGCCGGUGACAAACCGGAGGAAGGUGGGGAUGACGUCAAAUCAUCAUGCCCCUUAUGAUUUGGGCUACACACGUGCUACAAUGGACAAUACAAAGGGCAGCGAAACCGUGAGGUCAAGCAAAUCCCAUAAAGUUGUUCUCAGUUCGGAUUGUAGUCUGCAACUCGACUACAUGAAGCUGGAAUCGCUAGUAAUCGUAGAUCAGCAUGCUACGGUGAAUACGUUCCCGGGUCUUGUACACACCGCCCGUCACACCACGAGAGUUUGUAACACCCGAAGCCGGUGGAGUAACCUUUUAGGAGCUAGCCGUCGAAGGUGGGACAAAUGAUUGGGGUGAAGUCGUAACAAGGUAGCCGUAUCGGAAGGUGCGGCUG